RNAcentral lists this ribosomal RNA (300 nucleotides) under uncultured Actinomycetales bacterium. RNAcentral's name for it is "bacterial SSU rRNA". It matches the Rfam family "Bacterial small subunit ribosomal RNA", at positions 504 to 802 of the family's 1533-position model. The record is from RNAcentral. Lineage: Bacteria; Bacillati; Actinomycetota; Actinomycetes; Actinomycetales.
UGUGCCAGCCGCCGCGGUAAUACGUAGGGUGCGAGCGUUGUCCGGAAUUACUGGGCGUAAAGAGCUCGUAGGUGGUUUGUCGCGUCGUCUGUGAAAUUCUGGGGCUUAACUCCGGGCGUGCAGGCGAUACGGGCAUAACUUGAGUGCUGUAGGGGUAACUGGAAUUCCCGGUGUAGCGGUGAAAUGCGCAGAUAUCAGGAGGAGCACCGAUGGCGAAGGCAGGUUACUGGGCAGUUACUGACGCUGAGGAGCGAAAGCAUGGGUAGCGAACAGGAUUAGAUACCCUGGUAGUCAAGGGCG